Molecule: ribosomal RNA, 1528 nt
Filed under: Klebsiella pneumoniae
Lineage: Bacteria; Pseudomonadati; Pseudomonadota; Gammaproteobacteria; Enterobacterales; Enterobacteriaceae
Description: bacterial SSU rRNA
Rfam family: Bacterial small subunit ribosomal RNA
Source: RNAcentral
AGAGUUUGAUCAUGGCUCAGAUUGAACGCUGGCGGCAGGCCUAACACAUGCAAGUCGAGCGGUAGCACAGAGAGCUUGCUCUCGGGUGACGAGCGGCGGACGGGUGAGUAAUGUCUGGGAAACUGCCUGAUGGAGGGGGAUAACUACUGGAAACGGUAGCUAAUACCGCAUAACGUCGCAAGACCAAAGUGGGGGACCUUCGGGCCUCAUGCCAUCAGAUGUGCCCAGAUGGGAUUAGCUAGUAGGUGGGGUAACGGCUCACCUAGGCGACGAUCCCUAGCUGGUCUGAGAGGAUGACCAGCCACACUGGAACUGAGACACGGUCCAGACUCCUACGGGAGGCAGCAGUGGGGAAUAUUGCACAAUGGGCGCAAGCCUGAUGCAGCCAUGCCGCGUGUGUGAAGAAGGCCUUCGGGUUGUAAAGCACUUUCAGCGGGGAGGAAGGCGUUGAGGUUAAUAACCUUGUCGAUUGACGUUACCCGCAGAAGAAGCACCGGCUAACUCCGUGCCAGCAGCCGCGGUAAUACGGAGGGUGCAAGCGUUAAUCGGAAUUACUGGGCGUAAAGCGCACGCAGGCGGUCUGUCAAGUCGGAUGUGAAAUCCCCGGGCUCAACCUGGGAACUGCAUUCGAAACUGGCAGGCUAGAGUCUUGUAGAGGGGGGUAGAAUUCCAGGUGUAGCGGUGAAAUGCGUAGAGAUCUGGAGGAAUACCGGUGGCGAAGGCGGCCCCCUGGACAAAGACUGACGCUCAGGUGCGAAAGCGUGGGGAGCAAACAGGAUUAGAUACCCUGGUAGUCCACGCCGUAAACGAUGUCGAUUUGGAGGUUGUGCCCUUGAGGCGUGGCUUCCGGAGCUAACGCGUUAAAUCGACCGCCUGGGGAGUACGGCCGCAAGGUUAAAACUCAAAUGAAUUGACGGGGGCCCGCACAAGCGGUGGAGCAUGUGGUUUAAUUCGAUGCAACGCGAAGAACCUUACCUGGUCUUGACAUCCACAGAACUUAGCAGAGAUGCUUUGGUGCCUUCGGGAACUGUGAGACAGGUGCUGCAUGGCUGUCGUCAGCUCGUGUUGUGAAAUGUUGGGUUAAGUCCCGCAACGAGCGCAACCCUUAUCCUUUGUUGCCAGCGGUCCGGCCGGGAACUCAAAGGAGACUGCCAGUGAUAAACUGGAGGAAGGUGGGGAUGACGUCAAGUCAUCAUGGCCCUUACGACCAGGGCUACACACGUGCUACAAUGGCAUAUACAAAGAGAAGCGACCUCGCGAGAGCAAGCGGACCUCAUAAAGUAUGUCGUAGUCCGGAUUGGAGUCUGCAACUCGACUCCAUGAAGUCGGAAUCGCUAGUAAUCGUAGAUCAGAAUGCUACGGUGAAUACGUUCCCGGGCCUUGUACACACCGCCCGUCACACCAUGGGAGUGGGUUGCAAAAGAAGUAGGUAGCUUAACCUUCGGGAGGGCGCUUACCACUUUGUGAUUCAUGACUGGGGUGAAGUCGUAACAAGGUAACCGUAGGGGAACCUGCGGUUGGAUCACCU